GUUUUUAAUAUACAUACAAAACCCUGAAUGGUCAAUUUUUGUGUUGUAGAUGGAGACGAGAGAUCUGGACUUCUGAACGCCUAUCAGAAAAGAUAAAAUGUGCAAACCCUUCAGAACACUGGGGAGGUCAGGCUGAACUGCAGUGGGAGAGGAGAAGAGAUGCUGGCGUGAAGGGCCGGGGCAGAAGAUCAGGGAAAAACUCGGAUGAUCUGAAUGAUAGCAGUGACCACCAGCAACCUACAGAGCUGCCCGACCAGGAAAUUGUCAGACAGAAGCAACGCUUGCAGGCAAAGAAGGCUGAAGCAGGCCAAGGCAGGAAUGAAACAGUCAUAAAUGUUGGAGUGAAGCGACUGACCUCCCCGGUCCACACCCCAGCCCAGCGUCCUGCAUCUGCUGGAGGGUGGUAGACACCAUGUGGAGGAUGGGGACUUGGCAGUGGAGGAGAACAUGGAAGCAGGAUAUGGCAGUCCUCUAGCGUCCCAGCCACAAGUCCUCCGAAGAGUGUGGAUGACGAUGGUGACUUAGGUGCAUCCUUCGAAUGUCCUGAGGGGGAGACUGGAAAAGCAGACAUGCAAUUGUGGGAAGAAAUCAAAGGCAUAAAGAACUCACAGCACAAGUCCAAAGUCUGAUCAGCGAGCAGGCCUCUCUGCAGGGUGCAAGGGCACAGCUGGAGAGG
Molecule: long non-coding RNA, 676 nt
Filed under: Pongo abelii (Sumatran orangutan)
Lineage: Eukaryota; Metazoa; Chordata; Mammalia; Primates; Hominidae
Description: lincRNA
Source: RNAcentral